GAUGAACGCUGGCGGCGUGCCUAAUACAUGCAAGUCGAGCGAACGGACGAGAAGCUUGCUUCUCUGAUGUUAGCGGCGGACGGGUGAGUAACACGUGGAUAACCUACCUAUAAGACUGGGAUAACUUCGGGAAACCGGAGCUAAUACCGGAUAAUAUUUUGAACCGCAUGGUUCAAAAGUGAAAGACGGUCUUGCUGUCACUUAUAGAUGGAUCCGCGCUGCAUUAGCUAGUUGGUAAGGUAACGGCUUACCAAGGCAACGAUGCAUAGCCGACCUGAGAGGGUGAUCGGCCACACUGGAACUGAGACACGGUCCAGACUCCUACGGGAGGCAGCAGUAGGGAAUCUUCCGCAAUGGGCGAAAGCCUGACGGAGCAACGCCGCGUGAGUGAUGAAGGUCUUCGGAUCGUAAAACUCUGUUAUUAGGGAAGAACAUAUGUGUAAGUAACUGUGCACAUCUUGACGGUACCUAAUCAGAAAGCCACGGCUAACUACGUGCCAGCAGCCGCGGUAAUACGUAGGUGGCAAGCGUUAUCCGGAAUUAUUGGGCGUAAAGCGCGCGUAGGCGGUUUUUUAAGUCUGAUGUGAAAGCCCACGGCUCAACCGUGGAGGGUCAUUGGAAACUGGAAAACUUGAGUGCAGAAGAGGAAAGUGGAAUUCCAUGUGUAGCGGUGAAAUGCGCAGAGAUAUGGAGGAACACCAGUGGCGAAGGCGACUUUCUGGUCUGUAACUGACGCUGAUGUGCGAAAGCGUGGGGAUCAAACAGGAUUAGAUACCCUGGUAGUCCACGCCGUAAACGAUGAGUGCUAAGUGUUAGGGGGUUUCCGCCCCUUAGUGCUGCAGCUAACGCAUUAAGCACUCCGCCUGGGGAGUACGACCGCAAGGUUGAAACUCAAAGGAAUUGACGGGGACCCGCACAAGCGGUGGAGCAUGUGGUUUAAUUCGAAGCAACGCGAAGAACCUUACCAAAUCUUGACAUCCUUUGACAACUCUAGAGAUAGAGCCUUCCCCUUCGGGGGACAAAGUGACAGGUGGUGCAUGGUUGUCGUCAGCUCGUGUCGUGAGAUGUUGGGUUAAGUCCCGCAACGAGCGCAACCCUUAAGCUUAGUUGCCAUCAUUAAGUUGGGCACUCUAAGUUGACUGCCGGUGACAAACCGGAGGAAGGUGGGGAUGACGUCAAAUCAUCAUGCCCCUUAUGAUUUGGGCUACACACGUGCUACAAUGGACAAUACAAAGGGCAGCGAGACCGCGAGGUCAAGCAAAUCCCAUAAAGUUGUUCUCAGUUCGGAUUGUAGUCUGCAACUCGACUACAUGAAGCUGGAAUCGCUAGUAAUCGUAGAUCAGCAUGCUACGGUGAAUACGUUCCCGGGUCU
This 1372-nucleotide ribosomal RNA is filed under the name uncultured bacterium. RNAcentral's name for it is "bacterial SSU rRNA". It matches the Rfam family "Bacterial small subunit ribosomal RNA", at positions 28 to 1381 of the family's 1533-position model. The record is from RNAcentral.